UACGUAGGUGGCAAGCGUUGUCCGGAUUUAUUGGGCGUAAAGCGCGCGCAGGCGGUCCUUUAAGUCUGAUGUGAAAUUUUGCGGCUCAACCGCAAGCGGUCAUUGGAAACUGGGGGACUUGAGUACAGAAGAGGAAAGCGGAAUUCCACGUGUAGCGGUGAAAUGCGUAGAGAUGUGGAGGAACACCAGUGGCGAAGGCGGAUUUCUGGUCUGUAACUGACGCUGAGGCGCGAAAGCGUGGGGAGCAAACAGG
RNAcentral lists this ribosomal RNA (253 nucleotides) under uncultured bacterium. Its description in RNAcentral is "partial 16S ribosomal RNA". It matches the Rfam family "Bacterial small subunit ribosomal RNA", at positions 524 to 776 of the family's 1533-position model. The record is from RNAcentral.